CCCAGGUGAGCUUUCCAAGAGGAGAUGACAUGAUGUACUUUAGGCAGGGCGCUGCAAGGAGUGAUUAUACACAGCCAGAGACCACUCACCAGGCCUCCACAGGCCUCAUGAAGUUCUUACUGGUGACCUCAGGUUCAAUGGCCUAAGGUUAGCAGGCAGAAUGCAAAACUGUUACUGAAUUUUCCCAAGUUUGAACGCAGAGAAAAGCAGAAAAGUUUGAGCACCAAUUAUCAGUGCCUAUGAUAGAAAUAUUGCAAAUAUGAGUUGUGCCUGGAAGUCACUGAAGAAUUCAUGAGAAAGGCUCAUAAAAUCUGAUUCUACAAAGGCUCGGCCCCAAGUUACAGUCAACAGGCUAGGAGACCUCACCAGGGACUGCAAAUGAGGAGGAAGACCUUUUAUGACUGAAUUGUAGAAAAACAUUGUGAUUCUCAAGGUCAGACCCUCUCAUCUCAGACAUUCAGUCUGCAGCCACAGGUGAAGGACCCAGUUUACAGGAAUAACCACUUGAGCUGGGCAGUAACUUCUGCUGAGCAAACCUUACAGUAGGAUUUAGUUCCAGGUAAAGAUUUUGUUCCAUGACAAAGAUAAGCCAAAGCAAAGAAGGAGGGAAGCUAAGCAGUUUUUGUACUGGUGAGUUUGCUUCAGUGAAAGCCUUUUACCAGUAUUGGUAAUAUCUUCUGAGAGAUAGAAAGAGAAGGAA
Molecule: long non-coding RNA, 700 nt
Organism: Passer domesticus (house sparrow)
Lineage: Eukaryota; Metazoa; Chordata; Aves; Passeriformes; Passeridae
Exons: 4
Source: RefSeq, a predicted model, not a curated record